GAAAGAACUGCCAGUGAUAAGCUGGAGGAAGGUGGGGAUGACGUCAAGUCCUCAUGGCCCUUACGUGUUGGGCUACACACGUGCUACAAUGGCAUCUACAACAGGAAGCAAAACGGCAACGUUAAGCAAAUCCCGAAAAGAUGCCUCAGUUCGGAUUGCACUCUGCAACUCGAGUGCAUGAAGCUGGAAUUACUAGUAAUCGUGGAUCAGCGUGCCACGGUGAAUGCGUUCCCGGGUCUUGUACACACCGCCCGUCACACCAUGGGAGUUGGUUCUACCUUAAGGCAAGGUUUCAAACCCUUGACCACGGUAUAGUCAGCGACUGGGGUGAAGUCGUAACAAGGUAGCCGUA
RNAcentral lists this ribosomal RNA (352 nucleotides) under uncultured bacterium. RNAcentral describes it as "bacterial SSU rRNA". It matches the Rfam family "Bacterial small subunit ribosomal RNA", at positions 1142 to 1504 of the family's 1533-position model. The record is from RNAcentral.